Molecule: ribosomal RNA, 643 nt
Filed under: uncultured Methanosaeta sp.
Lineage: Archaea; Methanobacteriati; Methanobacteriota; Methanomicrobia; Methanotrichales; Methanotrichaceae
Description: bacterial SSU rRNA
Rfam family: Archaeal small subunit ribosomal RNA
Source: RNAcentral
CGGCUCAGUAACACGUGGAUAACCUACCCUUGAGACGGGGAUAAACCCGGGAAACUGGGUAUAAUACCCGAUAGAUCUCGACUGCUGGAAUGCAUCGAGCUUGAAAGCUCCGGCGCUCAAGGAUGGGUCUGCGGCCUAUCAGGUAGUAGUGGGUGUAGCGUACCUACUAGCCUACGACGGGUACGGGUUGUGAGAGCAAGAGCCCGGAGAUGGAUUCUGAGACACGAAUCCAGGCCCUACGGGGUGCAGCAGGCGCGAAAACUUUACAAUGCUGGAAACAGCGAUAAGGGGACCUCGAGUGCCAGGUUACAAAUCUGGCUGUCGUGAUGCCUAAAAAGCAUUGCAUAGCAAGGGCCGGGCAAGACCGGUGCCAGCCGCCGCGGUAACACCGGCGGCUCGAGUGGUAACCGUUAUUAUUGGGUCUAAAGGGUCUGUAGCCGGCCGGAUAAGUCUCUUGGGAAAUCUGGCAGCUUAACUGUCAGGCUUUCAGGAGAUACUGUCUGGCUCGAGGCCGGGAGAGGUGAGAGGUACUUCAGGGGUGGGGGUGAAAUCUUGUAAUCCUUGAAGGACCACCAGUGGCGAAGGCGUCUCACCAGAACGGACCUGACGGCAAGGGACGAAAGCUAGGGGCACGAACCGGAUC